This 532-nucleotide ribosomal RNA is filed under the name uncultured Pelagibacterales bacterium. RNAcentral's name for it is "bacterial SSU rRNA". It matches the Rfam family "Bacterial small subunit ribosomal RNA", at positions 97 to 663 of the family's 1533-position model. The record is from RNAcentral. Lineage: Bacteria; Pseudomonadati; Pseudomonadota; Alphaproteobacteria; Candidatus Pelagibacterales.
GGCAGACGGGUGAGUAACAUGUGGGUAUCUACCCUUUGGCCUGGAAUAACACGAGGAAACUUGUGCUAAUACCGGAUAAGUCUUUACGGAGAAAGCUUUAUGCACCAUUGGAUGAGCCCGCACUUGAUUAGUUUGUUGGUAGGGUAAUGGCCUACCAAGACUAUGAUCAAUAGCUGAUUUGAGAGGAUGAUCAGCCACAUUGGGACUGAGACACGGCCCAAACUCCUACGGGAGGCAGCAGUGGGGAAUCUUGCACAAUGGAGGAAACUCUGAUGCAGCGAUGCCGCGUGAGUGAAGAAGGCCUUUGGGUUGUAAAGCUCUUUCGUCGGGGAAGAAAAUGACUGUACCCGAAUAAGAAGGUCCGGCUAACUUCGUGCCAGCAGCCGCGGUAAUACGAAGGGACCUAGCGUAGUUCGGAAUUACUGGGCUUAAAGAGUUCGUAGGUGGUUGAAAAAGUUGGUGGUGAAAUCCCAGAGCUUAACUCUGGAACUGCCAUCAAAACUUUUCAGCUAGAGUAUGAUAGAGGAAAGCA